Molecule: ribosomal RNA, 439 nt
Filed under: Salmonella enterica subsp. houtenae serovar Houten
Lineage: Bacteria; Pseudomonadati; Pseudomonadota; Gammaproteobacteria; Enterobacterales; Enterobacteriaceae
Description: partial 23S ribosomal RNA
Rfam family: Bacterial large subunit ribosomal RNA
Source: RNAcentral
GGGUUGUGAGGUUAAGCGACCAAGCGUACACGGUGGAUGCCCUGGCAGUCAGAGGCGAUGAAGGACGUGCUAAUCUGCGAAAAGCGCCGGUAAGGUGAUAUGAACCGUUAUAGCCGGCGAUGUCCGAAUGGGGAAACCCAGUGUGACUCGUCACACUAUCAUUAACUGAAUCCAUAGGUUAAUGAGGCGAACCGGGGGAACUGAAACAUCUAAGUACCCCGAGGAAAAGAAAUCAACCGAGAUUCCCCCAGUAGCGGCGAGCGAACGGGGAGGAGCCCAGAGCCUGAAUCAGCAUGUGUGUUAGUGGAAGCGUCUGGAAAGGCGCGCGAUACAGGGUGAGAGCCCCGUACACAAAAGCGCAUGUGCUGUGAGCUCGAUGAGUAGGGCGGGACACGUGGUAUCCUGUCUGAAUAUGGGGGGACCAUCCUCCAAGGCUAAA